RNAcentral lists this long non-coding RNA (2838 nucleotides) under Homo sapiens (human). RNAcentral's name for it is "non-protein coding lnc-KRT80-1:7". Lineage: Eukaryota; Metazoa; Chordata; Mammalia; Primates; Hominidae. The record is from RNAcentral.
ACAAUCCCACUGGCCUGAGCCAGCAGGUGGCACAGCUCAGGCUGGACCCAGCCAGCCUCAAGGAGGGAAGAGAGGGACAUCAUGGUGGCGCUGGACUCCCUGCAGGGUAUGGGAUGAACUCUGCUGCUCAGAUGGGCAGGGGCUGCAAGAAGGAAGAAUGGGCAGCUUGAACUCAGGGAGGCGGGUCUGUGGUGGGGCAAGUGGAUGGAAUAGAACUGGAGGGUGGAGGAGGAGAUGGGAAAUGGAAGGGCAGGGGGUUAAGGAAGAAAUAAAGGAGGCAGAGGGAAGGACUGCGGGGAGGGAGACGAAAAGGUUGAGGAUAGGAGGGGAGUGAGAGAGAAGAGAAGCAGAGAAGAAAAAGUGAGGAGAGAAGAGGGGCCAGACCGGGACAGAGCAGUGCAGGGCUGUGAGGAAGGAGGUAGAGGGAUGGGCACGCCCUGCACCACCAGCCACCUAGCCUCCCUGUCCUGCCAGCUCCAUACCCCGUCAGGAAAGACAGGCCAGGGCUCUGCUGCCCUGUGCCUCCUCCCUUCUCCAGACCCAGGAUGUCGGCAUCCCUGGAUUUUGAGAUCCAAAAGGCAGGGCUCAACUUACCCCACAUGGAAGACAGUGACUCACACAGAUGAGCCUGCUAGAGCACCUUUUCCAGGAGCAGAGACCCACAAGGGUGGACGGGGGCUUGCUUUCCCCUCUCCUGGGGCUGGCAGGAACACCCCACUCUUACCCCAACUCACAGUGAUCGCCGGAGGGUGGUGCACUCUGCUCCAGCACCUGCCACCUGCCUAACACGCACUUGGGGACAGCUUCCAAUAGGAUGCAAGUGGCAGACAAAGGGCUCUGCAGAGGCAGAAGAUGAACAGUAAGAUGCAAAGAUCUGGCAACCUUCAGAGCUGGAUGUUCUCACAGAGCUACACAUGCCACAGUCAUCACUAGUUGCGAGAGUCUCCAGUGUUCAUUAAGCCUAUUUUGCUGGAAGUUUAGUCCCUGGAGGAUUAGUCCCUGCCCUUAAGGAGUGCCAAAGAAGACUUUGGAAUCUAAGUCACAUCUCCCCUGCUGCAAUUUUUUCCUCUUGAUAAUCAAGGAAUCUCACUGAUAAAACUCUCAAUGAGGAGCAGCUCUCCCCAUGAGCAAGUUCUUGCCUUCAUUGCCAGGGAGGCCCCAGCUAAGGUUAUACUGGGAAAGGAAUCUCUGGGGAGUACCUGGAAGAGGUCAGCUUCUCCUCAAAGGAAGCCUCUCCAGCUGGUGUACUGCAAAGCCUUCCAAGACCAAGUUCCCUCUUCCUGGCCUCUGGAACCAGCCUGUGUGCCAGCGCUGUGUCCCCAGUAACACACAUGAGUCUCUCCCUCAGAAGCCACAGAAGGAUGCAGAGAGAGACCAACCCAGGAUUGAUUCUCAGCACUUACUAAUUGUGUGGACAUAACUGCUCUGGACCUCAGCUUUGCUAUCUAUAAAAUGAGCACCCUUUUUAUAGAUAUGAACACUUUAAGAGAGUCAUAAAGAUUGAAGUUGAUUUGUGCUGCGCCUGGCACAGAGGUCUCCCUCAGUAAAUGGCAGCCACUGCUAUUGGGGUGCCCCAACACCCCUUGCCCCUGCCCACCAUUAGCUUUCACUUAGGCCCACACUGAGGGUGUGGCUGUUGUGUUGGGGGAAGGAAAAAAACCAUGCCUGGGUUGCAGGGCCCCCACCACCAACUGGUCUGCUUUUGUGGGAAGCAUUUUCUGAUGCCCUCGCCCUACCCGUGGGCUGGUUGACUAAGUGUCCAGCAUCAUGAGGAAAAGAGCAGGGUUCAGGGACAGCUUGGCUCAGCCCUGAAACUCAUCUGGGCCUAGGUCCAGAUGAGAGGCAAGCCUGGGAGGCCUUCCGUUGUACCCUUGCCUAUCCUGCAGCACCCUCUAGCCUGCAGGCCGCUCCUGGGUGGCAUAGCACCUUGGAUGUCAGGUGUGGGCCUUCCCAGGCACAUGGCAUGAGGGGGCACUUCUGUGGGUUGUUGGGGGCAGGAAGGGAUGUGUCUCCAGCUGGACUUGGGCUCUCGCAUUUUGGGGCCCAGCCAUGCCAGGACAGCACACAUGGGCGCUUAGUGCGAAUCUCAUGAUGGAGCAGAGGAGGAGCAAAGCAAAACCAGGGAGUCCCCAGGCCCCUGCUUCUGCCCCGCCCAGAGACAGUGGAGCAGGUGUCUCCAGCUUCUUAACCUCAACGCACAGUAAGAAAUACAUUUUACAGCAACCAAUAGACACAUACAUUUACAAAACGAUACUCUGUAAUGCACUGGGCUGGUUUUCUCUCCUCACGCCCCUCUAGUGAGUCACAGAUGAGUCCCGCUAUAAGUAAUGUAAGCAAGCCACAGUCCCUGGCUGGCAAGUGAGGGAGUGCCCCACCAGGACAGGGACACUGAGGCAGCAAUGAAAACAGCCAAUGCAACCACUCCUUCCUUUUUCCCCCGCUCAGACCCUCAUGGGUGAGGAGAGAAGCUGCCAAGCCGAGGACUCCAUGAGAAAGAUGCCGGAGCUGCCCCACUCCGCAGCAGGCGCUUCCCCUGGAUUCUCACUAUCCUCACGACAGCCAUGAGCACCAGCAAUUAUCUGUUCCAUUUUGGAGAGGAGGCAAUGCAGGUUCAGAGGCUUUAAAAAGAUUUACUAUGUGCUUGCUGUGUGCCGGCAACGUUUAUAUGGUUUAUAUAAUGCUGAAUGGUUUAUAUAAUGCUCAGCGCUUACCUAUUCCCCAGAGCAGCCCUAGGGAGCAGGUACCGCUGCAUCUGCAUUGGCAGAGGAGACCGCGGCUCCCCCAACCCCCGGCUCAAGGUCUCACAGCUAGUUGCAGGCCUGCAUCUCUCAACCCAGA